CUUGGCGGCAGCCUUAACAUGCAGUCGAACGGUAACAGGAAUCAGCUUGCUGCUUCGCUGACGAGUGGCGGACGGGUGAGUAAUGUCUGGGAAACUGCCUGAUGGAGGGGGAUAACUACUGGAAACGGUAGCUAAUACCGCAUAACGUCGCAAGACCAAAGAGGGGGACCUUCGGGCCUCUUGCCAUCGGAUGUGCCCAGAUGGGAUUAGCUAGUAGGUGGGGUAACGGCUCACCUAGGCGACGAUCCCUAGCUGGUCUGAGAGGAUGACCAGCCACACUGGAACUGAGACACGGUCCAGACUCCUACGGGAGGCAGCAGUGGGGAAUAUUGCACAAUGGGCGCAAGCCUGAUGCAGCCAUGCCGCGUGUAUGAAGAAGGCCUUCGGGUUGUAAAGUACUUUCAGCGGGGAGGAAGGCGAUAAGGUUAAUAACCUUGUCGAUUGACGUUACCCGCAGAAGAAGCACCGGCUAACUCCGUGCCAGCAGCCGCGGUAAUACGGAGGGUGCAAGCGUUAAUCGGAAUUACUGGGCGUAAAGCGCACGCAGGCGGUCUGUCAAGUCGGAUGUGAAAUCCCCGGGCUCAACCUGGGAACUGCAUUCGAAACUGGCAGGCUAGAGUCUUGUAGAGGGGGGGUAGAAUUCCAGGUGUAGCGGUGAAAUGCGUAAAGAUCUGGGAGGAAUACCGGUGGCGAAGGCGGCCCCCUGGGACAAAGACUGACGCUCAGGUGCGAAAGCCGUGGGGAGCAAA
RNAcentral lists this ribosomal RNA (749 nucleotides) under Enterobacter asburiae. RNAcentral's name for it is "bacterial SSU rRNA". It matches the Rfam family "Bacterial small subunit ribosomal RNA", at positions 36 to 772 of the family's 1533-position model. Lineage: Bacteria; Pseudomonadati; Pseudomonadota; Gammaproteobacteria; Enterobacterales; Enterobacteriaceae. The record is from RNAcentral.